GCCUGGGUAGCUCAGUCAGUUGAGUGUCUGGCUUCGGCUCAGGUCAUGAUCCCACAGUUUGCGGGUUCGAGCCCCGUGUCGGGCU
Molecule: transfer RNA, 85 nt
Filed under: Felis catus (domestic cat)
Lineage: Eukaryota; Metazoa; Chordata; Mammalia; Carnivora; Felidae
Rfam family: tRNA
About the family: Transfer RNA (tRNA) molecules are approximately 80 nucleotides in length. Their secondary structure includes four short double-helical elements and three loops (D, anti-codon, and T loops). Further hydrogen bonds mediate the characteristic L-shaped molecular structure. tRNAs have two regions of fundamental functional importance: the anti-codon, which is responsible for specific mRNA codon recognition, and the 3' end, to which the tRNAs corresponding amino acid is attached (by aminoacyl-tRNA synthetases). tRNAs cope with the degeneracy of the genetic code in two manners: having more than one tRNA (with a specific anti-codon) for a particular amino acid; and 'wobble' base-pairing, i.e. permitting non-standard base-pairing at the 3rd anti-codon position.
Source: Rfam by way of RNAcentral